UACAGAGGGUGCGAGCGUUGUCCGGAAUCACUGGGCGUAAAGGGUGCGUAGGUGGCUUGGUAAGCGUGUGGUGAAAGCUCGGGGCUCAACCCCGAGUCGGCCGUGCGAACUGUUUUGCUUGAGCACUGUAGAGGCAGGCGGAAUUCCGGGUGUAGCGGUGGAAUGCGUAGAGAUCCGGAAGAACACCGGUGGCGAAGGCGGCCUGCUGGGCAGUAGCUGACACUGAGGCGCGACAGCGUGGGGAGCAAACAGG
This 253-nucleotide ribosomal RNA is filed under the name uncultured bacterium. Its description in RNAcentral is "partial 16S ribosomal RNA". It matches the Rfam family "Bacterial small subunit ribosomal RNA", at positions 524 to 776 of the family's 1533-position model. The record is from RNAcentral.